UACGAAGGGGGCUAGCGUUGCUCGGAAUCACUGGGCGUAAAGCGCACGUAGGCGGCUUCUUAAGUCAGGGGUGAAAUCCUGGAGCUCAACUCCAGAACUGCCUUUGAUACUGGGGAGCUAGAGUCCGGGAGAGGUGAGUGGAACUGCGAGUGUAGAGGUGAAAUUCGUAGAUAUUCGCAAGAACACCAGUGGCGAAGGCGGCUCACUGGCCCGGUACUGACGCUGAGGUGCGAAAGCGUGGGGAGCGAACAGG
Molecule: ribosomal RNA, 253 nt
Filed under: uncultured bacterium
Lineage: Bacteria
Description: partial 16S ribosomal RNA
Rfam family: Bacterial small subunit ribosomal RNA
Source: RNAcentral